This 37737-nucleotide long non-coding RNA is filed under the name Triticum aestivum (bread wheat). RNAcentral's name for it is "long non-coding RNA (TAES_LNC016711)". The record is from RNAcentral. Lineage: Eukaryota; Viridiplantae; Streptophyta; Magnoliopsida; Poales; Poaceae.
GGGGUGUCGACUUCUGCAAGUACAAGUGUGGUCACAGCAAGCAGCUGGCCCAAGAAGAAGAUCAAGAAGUAGAGUGCCACCAAUCAGUUUAAUGGACCUGUUAAAAUCCAUCGCCGUGUCAAAUUUUAUGCUUCGUUAUUGUCUCCUGUGGUCGUUGAACCUUGUUUACUUUGCUUUCAGCCUCAUAUUGCUUUGGUGAUCUUUGAAAGAAAAUUUGUAUCAUGACUAUGAUGAAGGUAGAUGAUGUUGCUGCGUAAAUUGUGGUCAUUUUCAUCCUGCUACAGUCUGCUCUUAUAAAAUGUCUGCAGAAGAAUGUGUGAUCACACUGCUGACAUUGAGUUUUUAUCCCACCACCAAAUCGAAGUCCUCCUGGGCUAUCGCCUCUGCUUUCCACGAUCCCCAACAACUACAUACGCUCAUGAGAAGACGUGAGAAAAUUUGUAUAGUCAGACAAAUCCCGCAUCGGCUGGUGCGCGACGCCGCCGCUGUUUCACAGGCUUAACCUAUUUCUUUUUUGAGGAUUCCUUCACAGGCUUAAUCAAACCUGGCCACAUGUCCUGACUGUGUAUUAAAAAAAUGUUAAAAAAUUGGUACAGCCGGGACAUGUACCUUUUUCUUUUUUGACUAUGUAUUAGAAAAUGUAAAAAGAAAAAUGGUACAGCCGGGACAUAGUAAAAAAAGAAAUAGCCGACGCGGGAUAUAGUAAAAAAUCUUAAAAUUUGGUAGAGCCGGGAAAUGUACCAAUUUCUUUAAACGUUUUUCUAGAUUAAGCUGGGACAUCUACAUAGGCUUAACAUUUUUAAGCUUAACCAAACCUUUAUCUUUUUCUAGAUUUGUAUUUAAUAUUUUUCUAAUACAUAGUCAAAAAUUUUAUACCAAUUUUUAAAAAAUUCAAGCGCUUGGUUAACAUUUUUCGAAUACAAGGUUUAUGUUUUUUAAAUCAUAGUCAACAUUUUUCCUAUAAACAUUUUAAACCUUUUUCAAAUGCUUGAUUAACAUUUUUUAAAUACAGGAUUAACAUUCUUCUAAUACAUGGUAAUAUUUUUCUAUGAUUGUUUAAUAUUUUUCAAAUGCUUUAUCAAUAUCUUAAAAUGCAAGAUUAACACUUUUUUACUGCAUGGUCAAUAUUUUUUUUAUACACAUUUAAAAUUUUCCAAAUGCUUGACUAACAUUUUUGAAAUACUUAUUCAACAUUUUUUAAUGCUUGGUUAACAUUUUCAUCUGCAUGAUCAAAAGAUUUCAUCAUUUUUUCAUAUGUGGUCAAUAUUUUUUCAAAUGGUUUAUUAACAUUUAUUUCAAAUUUUUGAUUAACAUAUUUUAAAUACAUGAUCAAGUUUUAUAACAGACAUUAUAUAUUUGUUUGUAUAUAUUUCUCGCAUGCAUGGUCAACAUUUUUUAUACACAUUUAAAAUUUUGAAUGCAUGAACAUUAUGAAAAUUAUAAUUUGUAAUAUAUAUUUUUAGACUUUUUGGAGGUGUAAAGAAAAGUUUAAAAGAAAGUGAACAAAGAAAACAAAAGGAAAGGUGAAACAAACAUAAAAAAGAGGCAAUGGCCUCGCGCGAUCUGAGCCGGCCAUUUAGGCCGGCGCCUCAGCGACAGCUGAGUCUGUCUCGCAACGAGACAUAGUGGCGGGAGCUCCUAUUGGGGGAAUCCUAUUUGGCGCUUAUGCGCCCGCUCGCAAACCGGCGCCUGCAGGGCGCGGCUAGUUGGGCCCGGCCCAUCUUCCGCUUCCUUCAUAGAAAAAGCUGAUAAAAAAGGAAGCAUAGUUUGCCGGAUUCGAACCUAGGACCUAUAGGUUCGCAGAACAACGCAACAACCACAAGGAUAACGACCCACUUAUGAUACUUUAUUUCGUUUUUCCCUUCUUAUUCUUUCCAAAGAUCGCGAUGCCCGCGUAUUUUUUUCUUUUUGUUGUUUUUUCUCUGUUUCUCUUUUGUUUCCUUUUUCUUUUGCAAAUGCGCGAACAUUUCUUAAUUUUAUUUUUAUGAAUCAAUGAACCCUUUCUAAAAUUUGUGAACUUUUUUGUGAAUUGAUGAACUUUUUCAAAAUGGAUGAACUUUUUUCAAUUUUAGUGAACUUUUUUCAAAUCCGUGAACUUUUUUCAAAACCCAGUGAACUACUUUUUCAAAAUGGAUGAACUUUUUUCAAUUUUAAUGAACUUUUUUCAAAUCCAUGAACUUUUUUCAAAACCCGGUGAACUACUUUUUCAAAAUGGAUGAACUUUUUCCAAUUUUAAUGAACUUUUUUUCAAAUCCGUGAACUUUUUUCAAAACCCAGUGAACUACUUUUUCAAAAUGGAUGAACUUUUUUCAACUUUAAUGAACUUUUUUUCAAAUCCGUGAACUUUUUUCAGAAUCAGUGAUUUUUUUAAAUCCGUGAACUUUUUUCAAAACCCAGUGAACUUCUUUUGAAUUCGUGAUUUUUUCAUUCAAAUUGGAUGAACUUUUUUCAUAACCUCGUGAACUAUUUUCAAAUUCGAGAUUUUUUUAAUUCAGAAACGAUGAAAGUUUUUUCAAGUCAAUUAACUUGUACUGAAGAAAGUGUUAAGUAGGUUGUUUCCUCACUGUACACAAGGAAGUCCAGCGUGGCCUAGUGGUUAUCACUUUGUGCGGUUGACAUGGGCGGUAGGAGUUCGAAUCCCGCUUCACCUUUUUAUUCUGUAAUUUUUUUCAUCGCGUUAGAUUUUUGAGCAGAUUUCUCGCCGGCCCGCUACACCUCACAGGCGGCCCGCUAUGCCGCGGCUGCGAGCGCCAGCAGCGCUAACGGGCGCUUAAAGCGCUGAGUAGGAGCUCCCCUCCUAUUGGGCGCGUUUAGCGCCGGGAAAGCUUCUUGGCGCCCACGCCCCGUCCCUCGUGGGCCAGCCUAUUUACAUGACUCACUGUUGACUUUUGAGAGAAAAAAUAAAAAAACAAAAUAAAUCGCGAAUUUAAAAAUGUUCAUGAUUUUGAAAAAAAACGUCGGUUUGAAAAAAUUUCAUUGAAUUUGAAAACUAGUUUCAUCGAGUUUGAAAAAUAUUCAUCAAUUACAAAGAAAAACGUUCAUCGUAUUUGAAAAAAAGUUCAUCGAUUAAAAAAAGUUCAUCCAAUUUUUAAAAAGUUUGUGAAACUUGAGAAAAGAAGUUCAACGAUAUGAAGAAAACAAUUACGAAUUUGAAUAAAGUUCAUAGAUUUUUUUUAAAUGUGAUAAGGAAAGAAGAAAGGAGAAAGAAGAAUAAAAAGAAAAGAUCUAACUAAACACAUCUGGUGGUUUGGCUGUGUGGUUACUGUCGAUCGGGUUCGAAGCACUAAGCGACCGCAAAAUAGGAAUCGCACAUAGUUGCGCCCGACCUUAGUGCUAUCAGCCAGCUUGCGUUGCUUUUCGACCUUGUGGGCGGUGUCGGCCUUCUAAGGCCUUUUGUUUUUUAGAAAUUGAAAAAACCUUAAGAUUUAAGUAAAGUACAGAAAAAUCUACCGCGUGGCCCAGCCCAGGCCUGCAGCCACACAGCCAACCCACUGCGGCCCAGCACGCUGGCUCCCAGUUUCUCAACCAAUUUUUUUUUUAUUUUCGCCGCAUCUUCGCCAGGAGGAAUCCACUUUCGUCCCCUGGCCUUUGCCUCGCCAACAUGAACUAUGGGACUGUGUUUCGCUGCUAUCUCAAGAUCCUCCAGAUACCUGUUAAUGAAACACAUGGUAGACAAAGGGCUCUGGAAUUCAUCAUCAUGGAUUGCUCUUCUACGUGCCCACCAAAUUGCCCACAAGGUGAUUAGAGCUCUAGCGAGGUCUUGCUGCCCCAGUGUUUCAAAUAUCCAGAAAAGCCACAAACGCGCAUCAUCACUCUUGUUGGAAAUCAGAUGUGCCAAAAUUUCCUCAUCGCCUAGAGCCCAGACACACCGUGCCAUUCUGCACUCAAACAAAGAAUGCCGCCAUGAGUCAUACUCUGAUUCGCAUAAACUGCACACAGGUGAAGUGGCCAUGUUUCGUUCGUGGCGGACUGAUCCAGUGGGUAAUGACAUUUGUGCUAAUCUCCACACAAAGACCUUGACCUUGGACGGAACUUUCACUUUCCACAAUUGAGACCAUGAUCUGCUCUCCGCUUCAACGUUCGAGUGGAUCGGCCUGUGCUCUAGCCAGUCUUCUCGCUGGUGUUUGAUUCCACUUAUCAUCCUAUAUGCAGAUUUGACUGUGAAGAUUCCCCGACGCUCAUAGUGCCAUGACCAAAAGUCAGGUUGUACAUGUGUGAUGUUCAAGAUAACAUCCACGUCCGGCUGGAUGAAGUUCUCGGUCAGUACAUGUACAUUCCAUGAUUUCGAUGUUGCAUCAAUGAGUUCUGACACUAACUGCGGCGGGGCGGGAGAAAUAGAGCAUAUAGGUCUCAGCUUGAAAUCACGCGGCAGCCAGUUUUCUUCCCAUAUGUAGGUUUCAUCCCCGACCUGAUUCUCUUUAUGAGGCCCAAAGCUAGCACAUCUCUCCCCUCCAUCAGCGAGCGCCAUACUUGGGAAGGCCUGGUGCCGAGGCUGGCACCAAAAAUGUUGCUCUGAGGGUAGUAACGAGCACGCAAUACACGCGCACUCAAAGACUCCGGGUCCUGAAGUAAACGCCAGACUUGACGAGCAAGCAAAGCAAGAUUGAAAAGCUCUAUGUCCCUGAACCCGAUGCCUCACAUAUGCUUUGGUUUACACAUAGUCUUCCAGGAAACCCAAGCCGGUUUUCUUUGGCCACGCUUACUCCCCCACCCAAACUUCCUGAUAAGGCUGUUAAUAUGUUCAGUUAGGCCGCGACAAAGUUUGAAGCAUGACGAAUAUGUCGGAAUAGAUUGUGCAACCGAUUUGAUCAAUACUUCUUUACCUCCUGCUGACAAACAUUUCUCCAUCCAUCCUUGGAUGUGUUUCCAAAUUCUAUCCUUUAAAUACUUGAAGCUUCCUUCCUUAUUCUUCCCUACGUCCGUGGGCAAGCCCAAAUACUUCUCUGACAGAAAUUCGUUUUGGACAUCUAGUGCAUUCUUUAUCUCGUUCUGUGUUACCUCUGGAACCCCCUUGCUGAAGUAUAUAGCGGACUUGUCUGUGUUUACUCGUUGGCCCGAGGCAUCACAGUACAUCCUCAAAAUAUUCUGGACACUGGUUGCAUUCUCCAUAUUUGCUUCAAAAAACAGUAGACUGUCGUCUGCAAAGAGCAAGUGAUUAACUUGCGGGGCUGUCUCUGCAACAGCUAGACCCCGUAUGCCACCUCCGUGAUGUUUUAAUAAAGAUGAGAGACCCUCAACUGCAAGUAAAAAUAAGUAUGGGGAGAUAGGGUCCCCUUGUCUCAUGCCCCUUGAUGGCCUGAACUCAUUCAAACUGCCACCAUUAAAAAGAACUGAGAAAGUGACUGAAGAAACACAUCUCAUGAUAGUCUCUGUGAAGCGUGGACUAAUGCCCAUUCUCAACAUAACAGCCUUCAGAUAAGGCCAUUCCAGGCGAUCAUAUGCUUUCAUCAUAUCCAACUUCAGCGCAACAAACCGAUUGUUCUUUACUCUCCUCGUUUUCAUAUAAUGCAAGCACUCGUAAGCUGUCAGAAAAUUAUCCGUGAUAAGACGUCCAGGCACAAAGGCCGACUGCUCCUCAGAAAUUACCUCAGGAAGGAUGAUCUUCAACCUGUUAGCUAGAACCUUUGACGCAAUCUUAUAGACCACGUUACAAAGGCCUAUAGGCCGAAACUGUCCUAAAAUUUUUGGACCUGCGAUCUUGGGAAUAAGAACGAUGAACGUGCGAUUGAUAUCCUCCGGAGAAUCUUCUCCUUCGAGCAAUCUAAUAAUCAUGCCAGUAACCUCUUCACCACAGAGGUCCCAAUGUCUCUGAAAAAAAUGUGCAGGAAAUCCAUCGGGCCCCGGUGCUUUUGUUGGAAACAUUUGAAAGAGAGCAACUUUGACCUCUUCUUUUGUAUAUGGUGCAUUAAGCUUUGCAUUCAUACUUCCAUCAACUCUAACCGGGAUGUGGGACAAGACCUCCUCCAUCCCAAUACCGGCCAUCUCUUCAGUAUCAGAAGAAAGUGUCCCAUCCGGCCUCUCAAGCUGAGUAAUAUUGUUUUUUGCCCUUCUAGCACUCGCCUUCUUCUGGAAAUACUGCGUGUUACUGUCUCCUGCGGACAGCCAGUCUAUACGCGACCGUUGUCUCAUCAUUAUCUCCUCCCUGUAGGAAAUCUCAACAAUCUUGUCCAAAACCCUCUUCUCCUCCUCGCCCGGCCCAACACGGACCGGGUCAGCUCUCAAAACUGCUAGCUGGUGCCUCAGCUUCCUUAACUCUUCACGAACUGACCCAAAAGUUGCUCGGCUCCAGUGUUUAAGCGAAGCUCCAACCGAAGUCAACUUAUCAGCUAGCUCUGUUAUAUUUGUAGCUGGUUGCCGCUGUAUCCAGGUCGGGACGGACGGGAGCGUGUGUUGUUGUUUGCAGGGACAAAGAAGGAAACUACAUUGGCGCAUCAGCUAUGGUUUUUGAAGGCCUAGUUGGCGCUGCAAACCUGGAGGCCCAAGCAUGCAAUGAGGCACUUGCUCUCGCACAAGAUCUUCAUCUAUCACAUGUGAUCAUAGCGUCGGACUGCAUGCAAGUCGUCUCAGACAUCAAUGGCGCUGCACAAUCUUCUUCUUAUGCUUGUAUAAUCGAGGAGAUUAAAGUUAGAUCGGUAGACUUUGUUAAAGUUAGUUUUCGUUUUGAAAAUAGGGAGUCGAAUUGUGAGGCUCAUGCUUUGGCAAAAGCAGCCUCGACACUCCCUAUCGGUCGACAUUAUAGCUGGCCAAACGGGUCGGGCCAAACAGGCCAGCCCGCGAGCACGCCGGCACGGCCCGCUAUGGGCCAGGCACGGCACGGGUUAAACGGGCCGUGCCCGGCACGCGGCACGUCUUGGGCCGUGCCUGGGCCUGAAGCCUGGGCACGCGGGCCAGCACGGCACGGACCGUUUAAUUUUUUUAUAUAAUUUUCAGAAUUUUUUCUAUAUAUCUAUACCUAAAAUAUAGCCCAAUAGGCCUAAAAAACAGCCCAACAGGCUGAAUAUGUGCAGCCCAGCGUGCUAAACGGGCCAUCGGGCCGGCCCAUUUACUAAUCAGGCCGUGCCUGGGCCAAGGAGCAGCGCCCGUGGGCCGGCACGACAUGACCUGGCUAUUAAACGUGCCAUGGCGGGCCGUGCCGGGCCAGGCACGAUUAGCACAGGCCGGGCCGUGCCGUGCCGGGCCGACCCGUUUGGCCAGGUAUAGUCGACAUGUGUGGCUAGGGAACACACCAGAUAUUAUUUGUAUUCCGUCAGUUUUGGUUGAUCAAUAAAACCCUAGUUACACCUAAAAAAAUAACCAAAAAAAAAAUGCACGCUGGCUCCCAGCCGAGACGCACACGCCGCCGCGCGGGACCUCCACGAGGGCGUCUGGCGUCACCCCGGCGCACCCGCCGAGACUGCUGCGCCGCCGCGCCGCCGCGAGAAGGGCGGAGGUCGCCAGGGAGAGAGCAUCAAAAGGAGGAGAGGGAGGUGGAAGAGGCGCCCUGCCGCCACCGCGGGCAGGCCGCCGGUGGCGCCGGCGACAGAGGAGGACGUGGCUGAGGGGGCUGAAGGUGAGGCGGCGGGAAAUCGCCCGGUGAGUCGCGAGAGCAACCCACGGGACGGAGGGAAAAGUGGCGGUGGAUUCCUUGGUUUUCACUGUUUCGUUCCCAAAUCAGAUUCGACCGGGCAAGCAUAUCCAGUUCUCUCCCGGAUUGGAUUGGGGUGGGAAGGAUCUACAUCAGAACGCGACCGGAGUAGCCGCCGGAGCUGCCGCAGUCUUGGUCUCUUUGAUUUGCGGCUCCGGCCGCCCGUGUGGUUGUAGCCGACCUGCUCUAAAGCUGUGGUGUUUGUCUCUGUCCAUCCACAAUGGAAGCUCCGGCUCCAGAUUGGUCCGGGCUACCAGCGGACAUAUUGAUCAGCAUAUUCCAGUUGCUCCAGUGCCCGGACCUCCUCCGAUCCGCCGCCGUCUGCACAUUCUGGCAAAAGGUGUACUCCACGCUCCGCCGAAGCGGCGUCUGCCCCAGUCGCCAGACUCCCUGUUUACUCUAUUGUACCGAGGCCGCCGGGGCGAAGGCUCUUGGCAUGUACAGUCUCUCUGAACGGAAGGCCUACUCCUUGCCCCUCCCUGAACCUCCCAUCAGCAGCUGGAUUGGUUCAUCACAUGGCUGGCUAGUCACCAUGGAUGAGAAGUCUGACCUGAUGCUUCUCAACCCUAACACCGGUGACAAGAUUGCACUCCCUCAUGUGACAGCCAUGGAGCAUGUUAAACCUAUCGUAAACGAAGACGGGAUUCUUGAAAAGUACAAGCUGUCUUUCUAUGAUGGAGAGCUUCCGAGGGUGGAGGAUACACCCUAUGCAUGCCAUUUGGAUAGGUACGGAGAUCUGGUCUAUCUGAAGGCAAUUUUGUCGUCAGAUCCAUCGGCAGGGGAAUGCACUGUCAUGCUCAUCCAUCAGCCGUACGCGCAGCUCUCGUUCGCCAAAGUGGGAGAUGCUCACUGGAACUGGCUCCAAAUGCAUAGUUUCUAUGCUGAUUGCAAACACCAUGAUGGCUGUUUCUACGCAUUCACUGCGGCAGGCGCAAUCGAUGUGUUUGAUUUGAACGGGCCAUCUGUCAUCCACAGAAGGAUUUUACCAAAUCUAGUUCAGAUGGUCCAGAAGUGCUAUAUUGUUCAGGCACCAUGGGGAGAUGUCCUCCAAAUCAUUAAGGAGGAGAGUUUGGAUCCUGAACAACCAGAUGGUGAGACGUAUAUCACUGCUUAUGAAGUGUACAAGGUUGAUUUUGUUGAGCUGAAGCGUGCCAAGAUGAGAGGGCUAGGUGAAUAUGCAUUGUUUACUGGGAAAAGCACAACAUCUUGCUUUAGCGCAAAGGAUCAUCCAGGCUUGAUGGCAAACCAUCUAUAUUUUACUCAUGAUGAUCACGAUGAAUUACUCAGCGGCAAAGAUGAUCCACGUGAUAUAGGAGUGUACGACUUGGAAAAUGAUACCAGAACCAAUUUGGUUGAUCCUGAACCCUGGAUGACGUGGUUCCCUCCCAUAUGGUUCACACCCAAUCUUGCAAAAGCAGGUAUAUUUCAUUAUCAAACAGUACUUUUCCUGAUAUUAUUUUUAGUAUUUUGAAAUCUGCUUCUCACAGAAUAAGAGAAUUGCACUUCCAACCUUAAGUGUGUUCCCCUUGUCUGGGUCUGUAUUGGAUGUUCAGAAUAGCUUCAGCGUUUGGUUAUGUUGAAUUUCUUAAACCCCUUUGGCUAAGAUUACCAUGUUAGUCAUGUGUUAUUCUUGCUAAAUGACAUGAAACGUGAUGAGGUUUAUAGGUUGGCUUUGAUACAUUUUUUAUGAUGUUGUGCUUGUCUGGCCUAGUGUUAUAGAAGAAGCGUUGCAUUCUCACCUAACAAAUAGGCUAUCAUGAAGCAGCCAACUCAUAUUGGGGAAAUAGGAAACUAUAAAGUGUGAAUAGUCUCGAGACGAAUGCAAGAUAAUCUAGAUCUAAUUGACAAUAUCAGUGUUAUAUUUCCGAAUACGUAUGGAGUAAAUAAUACUAAUAUGGAUGACAGAUAAUCCAGAAUUCUGGAUACAGUGGACAAAUGUGCAUUCACCCUUUACAGUACUGCCAUGAUCACACACAAACUCCACAUGAUAACUAUAAAACAAACUAGGAAGAAUAUAAAGAUGGUGGUGCGUAUCCUGUGAAAAUGGGCAUGUUUUUGAUAAUGUGAAAAUACAAUCAGAAAAGCACACGUGCAAGUAUCUUAAAAUUCUCAAAAUAACUCUCUUACUUUGUAAGGCCGUUUUGUAUAUUCAUGCCAAUUUGAAACUUCAAAUCCAGUAUACUUUGUGUGCUACAGAAGAGAAAACUGAAUGUGAAUGGUGUACUAAAAUUAAAACUGUGCUUUGACACUAUUAGCCUAUUUUGUCUUUUUUGUUUUCGUAAAAGGAAUUCUCUUUCGAGAAAGUUUGCACGGAGGUGCUAUAUGCUCUUCCACAAUAGUACACUUUUGCGGAAUUUGUAUGCGCUUUUUAAAUGGUAUUUCAAAUUUUUGGAAAGAUGUGCAUUUUCGUAGGAUAUGUCCCACUAAAUACAUUGGGGGUUAAGAUGAUUUAGCAUAUCAUUUAUGUUGUCUGGCCGGGUAAGAAAUUCAUGUAACAAAACAACAUUUUUUUUAAUGUUAAGCUAGCCUUUUUUGUUUCUUCUUAUUUUGAGUUUCGUUUUCCUUUUCCAUUUGCUUAGAGUUUCUAGAUUUGUGCCCCUUCGUUCUCUUUUGCUGUUUCAAUUUGUGCAGUUUUGUGCCUUCUUGCCGUUCUUAUUCUAAUACUGGACAAUAUUAUACACAUUUUGGUGUUGUUUGAGAAAAGAGUGCAAAUUUCAGCCGAUAGUACCUUUAAUAUUUGUCUUUCCGUUUAUAUCCAGUUGUUCAAAUGUGCACCUCGCUGUGAUUUGCAUUUGAAGUAUUCUCUGAUAUUUGUUCUGAUUAUUAUCUUUGUUUUCAUUGGAGAAGUGGUUUACUAAUAAGUACAAAAAUUGCAACCAAAUGUACAGCAACAUUUGACAUAAAUCACACAUCUCAUUCGUUAAUCUUUAUAUAUUAUGUUCUCAUAGAAGUUACAUUAAUUCUUGUGAACUGCUAAGCUGAUCAUUUGUUGACUAUUAACUUAAUUAGGCUUAAUAGCCUGUCAGGGUUUAUAAAUGCACUUACACGGUUACAUCACAUGUGAUGGACUGAUCGUGUACCUGUUUACUCUGAUAAAAUCUCCUUGUCAGUUUUUUCUUCUGUUUAACAUGGAACUGAAUUAUUGCGUGGAUCCGAAAAGAACCACCUGCUACUGUAGAUUAAAAAAAUUGUAGGAAUGCUUGCAAUCAUUGUAACGAUGGGCAUAUGUUUAUUGUCGUGUUAUCUGUUACUUUGCAUAGUCCAUGUCUUCAUGCUUGCUUGAAACAAUGCAACCUUUUGCCACUGUCUACUUUACAAUAAAUACAAUUUGCAUGGAAAAUUCCAAAAAAAAAUAUUAACUCUAAAAUUUGAGAGAAGUGCUCAUAUAUCAUAUUAUUAUAUUCUGGUCACUUUUCUGGUUGCUAGCUCAUUUCCCUGUCAGACUGUCACAUAAAGGUAGGCCAUUAUGAAUCAGUCAUUUUUACUAUUUUCUCCUGUGGCAAAUUUUAGCAUGGUCCCUCUUACCUCCCCUUUUCACAUGAGAGGUAAGAGUACGUAAUAGAUCUGAGCCAUUGAUUUGAUUAAAUAGUGGUCUGAUUUACUCUUACCUUCUUACCUCCCAUGUGAAAAGAGGGGGUAAGAGGGAGCAUGUUAAAAUUACUCUUCUCAUGUUACAUAUAUGACCCUCUCUCUCAUUUUUGCGAUUUAGCCACAUGUUCUGUUAGUACUUUAUUAACCUCUUAUUCCGCGAGUGUCAGUCCUUAACCCAAUGCGUAGUCUCUUACAUAUUCUGCCUUUAUUUGAAUGUAUGAUUUUAUGUUAGCUCUUUUACAGUACCCUGAUACUCUGAAAGCAUGCAUUGGAGUACCAGGCAGAUUUGGCCAUCCACACGGAAGGGCAACCCCAUAAUUUCCCAAAUGGUACGAAAGGGUAUUUUUGGACUUCUUCUCUGCCAUUUUGAUAGAGCCCACAGCUCCCUGGUCCUGCCCUUGCUGUGCCGUCGUGCCCUAGCACGCGCCGCAGGUUAUCCAAGUUUGAGGGCGGCGCCCCAGCCCCCAGGUCCUGCCCUCUCCGUGCCGUUGUGCCUCAGCGCGCACUGCCACCAUCCCUGUCAAGCGUCUUCGGUCGAGCUGCCACCCCACAACAGGUUCCCCCCUGUCGAGCAAGUUCCCCACAUGAAGAACUCUUAGGAAUCCUAGAAAUUAUAUAUGAACUACAUGCCAAAUUGGCGUCAAAAUUGCCAUCGUUUAAGCUGUCUUAGAUCCUAUGAGCAUAAAAAUUUCCAGCAUGCUGCUUGCUUUGAGCACAAAUAGUUGAAGAGAACAAAUGCGCUUCAGCUUGUGCAGAAACUAUCAGCUGCGGCUUAUCAGAUUAAGAUGCAGCAGUGGUUGUUUUAACACUUCCUGUGAUUGUCUGACACCGUCCGUAGCAGAUGUGCGCUCAUUCAGGAUGCAGAAUUGUCUUUGUUUUCGCCAUCAAUCUUACCAACAAAGGUUAAUCCAAUAUGAAAACUCUGUUUUUUUAUAUGAUUAAGCCAAACUGUGCGAAUGAAUUGCAGAUGCCGAAUUUUGAUACCUUUUCAUAGAAGAAAAGAAGUUAACAUAUAAGAUUAUACUGACUACAACAUUUCUUACAUGGUGUGUUCAUAAGAAUAAGAAUGAAAAUUUAGCUUUCACUGUGAGCCUCCCAUGGAAUCCUUCCUUGUUCCAUGCUGAAUUCUGAUUGCAUUUUUCUGUUCUGUCAGGGCUGUAGGUCUGUUUGUUUGCCCUUUGGAUUUUUUUAUUCUUUUGGUUAUUCUACAAUAUCUACUGCAAUACAUGGAAUCCUUUAUCGCCUCUUACAAUGAAUUAAAGUCAUUUGUAAUUUAACCCCGUGAGUCUAAUAACACUGAUCUUACACAUUCUAAUAUUUUCACUUAUCUACAGAUGCCAUGUGCGCCUGCACCCAAGGGGUGUUGACUUCUGCAAGUACAAGCGUGGUAACAGCAAGCAGCUGAGGCCCAAGAAGAAGAUCAAGAAGUAGAGUGCCACCAGUCAGUUUAAUGGACCUGUUAAAAUCCAUCGUCGUGUCAGAGUUUAUGCUUCGCCAUCGUCUCUGGUUGUCGUUAAACCUUAUUUACCUUGCUUUCAGCCUCAUAUUGCUUUGUUGAUCUUUGAAAGAAAAUUUGUAUCAUGAGUAUGAUAAAGGUAGAUGAUGUUGCUCCAUAAAUUGUGGUCAUUUUCAUCCUGCUACAGUUGCUCUUAUAAAAUGUCUCUGCAGAAGAAUGUGUGAUCACACUGCUGACAUAGAGUUUUUAUCCCACCAACAAAUCGAAGUCCUCCUGGGCUAUCGCCUCUGCUUUCCACCAUCCCCAACAACUACAUACGCUCAUGAUACGGACGUGAGGCUUAAUCAAUUUCUUUUUUGAGGAUUCCUUCACAGGCUUAAUCAAACCUGGCCACAUGUCCCGGCUGUGUAUUAAAAAAAUGUUAAAAAAUUGGUACAGCCAGGACACGUACCUCUUUCUUUUUUGACUAUGUAUUAGAAAAUGUAAAAAAAAUGGUACAGCCGGGACAUAGUAAAAAAAGAAAUAGCUGAUGCGGGAUAUAGUAAAAAAUCUUAAAAGUUGGUACAGCCGGGAAACGUACCAAUUUUUGUAACAUUUUUUCUAGAUUAAGCCGGGACAUCUACACAGGUUUAACAUUUUAAAGCUUAACCAAACCUUCUUAUUUUUAUAGAUUUGAAUUUAAUAUUUUUCUAAUACAUAGUCAACAUUUUUAUACCAAUUUUUUUUAAAAAAAUCAAGCGCUUGGUUAACAAUUUUCGAAUACAAGGUUUACUUUUUUUAAUAUAUAGUCAACAUUUUCACUAUAAACAUUUUAAACCUUUUUCAAAUGCUUGAUUAACAUUUUUUAAAUACAGGAUUAACAUUUUUCUAACACAUGGUAAUAUUUUUCUAUGAUUAUUUAACAUUUUUCAAAUGCUUUAUCAAUAUCUUAUAAUGCAAGAUUAACACUUUUUUAAUGCAUGGUCAAUAUUUUUUAUAUACAUUUAACAUUUUCCAAAUGCUUGAUUAACAUUUUUGAAAUAAUUAUUCAACAUUUUUUUUUAAAAUUCUUGAUUAAUAUUUUCAUAUGCAUGAUCAAAAGAUUUCAUUAUUUUCUUAAUACAUGGUCAACAUUUUUUCAAACACUUUAUUAACAAUUGUUUCAAAUUUUUGGUUAACAUAUUUUAAAUACAUGAUCAAGUUUUAUAACAGAUAUUAUAUAUUUGUUUGUAUAUAUUUCUCGUAUGCAUGGUCAACAUUUUUUUAUACACAAUUAAAAUUUUAAAAUGCAUGAAUAUUAUGAAAAUUAUAAUUUGUAAUCUAUGUUUUUAGACUUUUUGGAGGUGUAAAGAAAAGUUAAAAAGGAAAUGAACAAAGAAAACAAAAAGAAAGGUCAAACAAACAUAAAAAAGAGGCAAUGGCCUCGCGCGAUCUGGGCUGGCCAUUUAGGCCGGCGCCUCCGCGACAGCUGAUCUGCCUCGCUUGCAGCGAGACAUAGUCGCGGGAGCUCCUAUUGGUCGCGUCUAGCGCCGGGAAAGCUUCUUGGCGCCCACGCCCCAUCCCUCAUGGGCCAGCCUAUUUACAUGACUCACUGUUGACUUUUGAGAGAAAAAACGAAAACAACGAAAUAGAUCAUGAAUUUAAAAAUGUUCAUGAUUUUGAAAAAAACAUCGGUUUGAAAAUUUUCAUUGAAUCUGAAAACUAGUUCAUCGAGUUUGAAAAAUAUUCAUCAAUUUUAGAAAGAGAAAACAUUCACCGUAUUUGAAAAAAGGUUCAUUGAUUUUAAAAAAGUUCAUCCGAUUUUUAAAAAGUUCAUCAGACUUGAGAAAAGAAGUUCAACGAUAUGAAGAAAAUAAUUACGAAUUUGAAUAAAGAGGUAAUAUCACUAGUGGUGCUUAAACUUGCCAUCGAUGUUCAUUUUGGUGCCUAAACUUGAAAAAUACACCGAACUGGUUCUAUAACUUGGCAGUAUGGUUCAAAUACGGUUCGAAUCAUGUCUAGAUAUGUAUAUAUUGCUGACUAGACAUGCGAGCGUGUCGCAGGGCCCACUUGCAGUGCAGAGACAUACUGCCAUGAAGAGUGUGCGUCUCAAUGACCAUCGGGCCCCACCUGUCAGUGCAUAGUUGAAAUAAACUAUAAAAUUGUAAAGCUGAGAUUCGAACCGGUGACGAGUGAGCCACGAAGGACAUGCACCAACCAAUUCGCCACGUAAUUUUGUUGUCUUUAUGCACUGCAACGGUUUAUACAUCCGAUACAGCCGUGGAGUUAAAUGUGCAUCAGUUAGUGCACCCAUUUUCCACAUGUUAGUUUUUUUUAUUUUAGAAAUUGCAAAAUAUUCAGGUAGUAUAUGAAAGUGUCCAUGCUUUUAGGAAAUGUAUUUCUAGUUUAAAAAGUGUUCACUCAUUUUAAAGAAGUAUAUGUGUUUGCCAAAAGAUAUAUUUUUGAAUAAAAAUAAAUAUUAAAAUAUAUGUCAAAAAAUAAACAAUGUCCUAGUGUUCCUCCAGGAUUUUAUACAUUCUUGUAUUUAAAUUAUAAUUUUUUAAACUAUACAUACACUUGUCUAGCUAAAAAACAUUUUAAAUAACUGAAUUUCUAAUAAUACAUAAAUAUUUUUUUAAUUACAUUAACGUGUUUGAAAAUAAUUUUUUUACGCAUAUUAGUUAUGAGACAAGAAGGUUCUAGAUUUACUUUUAUUACCAUUACAAUAAUUUGCAUAAGUUUUAGAACUAAUAAAAGCAAAAAAGAAACCCACACGUCGAAGGUUCACGUAAAAAAGGAAAAAAACUAAUAUUUUAAAAAAGGAUCACAUGAUAUGUUUUAAAAUGAAUAUUUUGAAAAUUGAUUAACAUUUCAAAAAUGUAUAACUUUUAAAAAUUGCAAAAUUAUUUUAUUAAAUGUGUGAAACCUUACAAAUAUUAUGAAACCAUUUUAUUAACUUUGUAUUAUUUUAACUUUGUGAAUAUUAAAAAAAUUGAGGGGUCAUUAACUAUUUAUUUAAUAUUUUGAGUAUAGUUUGAAUAUUUUUCUAGCAACCGAAAAAUAACUAGCAUGUGAAAAAUUGGAAGCACUGAUUGCAGUCUAGUUUGCUAGAUAAAGGUUAGCGAUGCAUUAUAGUCAACUUACUUUCGCUGGUCAAGUGGUUUGCGCAGAUCCUUUGCAGCGGAGAGGUCGCCGGUUCAAAUCUUAGUUGUGCUUCAUUUUUAUUUAUUUCGGUUUUACACUGACAUGUGGGACCCGAUGGUCAUUUACACGCACUAUUUCCAUGUCGGUCCGUCUCGGCAUUGCAAGUGGACCCCGUGCCAGCUGGCAUGUCUAGUCAACAAUGCAUACGUAUUUGAACCGUAUUUGAACCACACUGUCAAUUAUAGAACGAGUUCGGUGUAUUUUUCAAGUUUAGGCAUCAAAGUCAAUAUCGAUGGCAAGUUUAGACACCGCUACUGUUAUUACCUCUUGAAUAAAAAAAUGGGAUAAGGAAAGAAGAAAGGAGAAAGAAGAAAAAAAAAGGUCUAACUAAAUAAACACAUCUGGUGGUUUGGCUGUGUGGUUACUGUCGAUCGGGUUCGAAGCACUAAGCGAUCGCAAAAUAGGAAACGCCCAUAUUUGCGCCCGACCUUAGGGCUAUCGGUCAGCUUUCGACCUUGUGGGCCGUGUCGGUCUUCUGGGGCCUUUUGUUUUUUAAAAAUUUAGAAAAACCUUAAUAAAAUAAGUAAAGUACAGAAAAAUCUACCGCGCGGCCUAGCCCAGGCCUGCAGCCGCACAGCCAACCCACUGCGGCCUAGCACGCUGGCUCCCAGUUUCUCAACCAAAAAAAAAUGCACGCUGGCUCCCAGUCGAGACGCACACGCCGCCGCGCGGGACCUCCGCGAGCGCGUCACCCCGGCGCACCCGCCGAGACUGCUGCGCCGCCGCGCCGCCGCGAGAAGGGCGGAGGUCGCCAGGGCGAGAGCAUCAAAAGGAGGAGAGGGAGGUGGGAGAGGCGCCCUGCCGCCACCGCGGGCAGGCCGCCGGCGGCGCCGGCGACAGAGGAGGACGUGGCUGAGGGGGCUGAAGGUGAGGCGGCGGGAAAUCGCCCGGUCAGUCGCGAGAGUAACCCACGGGACGGAGGGAAAAGUGGCGGCGGAUUCCUUGGUUUUCAUUGUUUCGUUCCCAAAUCAGAUUCGACCGGGCAGGGCAGGCAUAUCCAGUUCUCUCCCGGAUUGGAUUGGGGUGGGAAGGAUCUACAUCAGAACGCGGCCGGAGUAGCCGCCGGAGCUGCCGCAGUCUUGGUCUCUUUGAUUUGCAGCUCCGGCCGCCCGUGUGGUUGUAGCCGACCUGCUCUAAAGCUGUGGUGUUCGUCUCUGUCCAUCCACAAUGGAAGCUCCGGCGCCAGAUUGGUCCGGGCUACCAGCGGACAUAUUGAUCAGCAUAUUCCAGUUGCUCGAGUGCCCGGACCUCCUCCGAUCCGCCGCCUUCUGCACAUUCUGGCAAAAGGCAUACUCCACGCUCCGCCGCAGCGGCGUCUGCCCCAGUCGGCAGACCCCCUGCUUACUAUAUUGUACCGAGGCCGCCGGUGCGAAGGCUCUUGGCGUGUACAGUCUCUCCGAUCGGAAGGCCUACUCCAUGCCCCUCCCUGAACCUCCCAUCAGCAACUGGAUUGGUUCAUCACAUGGCUGGCUAGUCACCAUGGAUGAGAAGUCUGACCUGAUGCUUCUCAACCCUAUCACCGGUGACAAGAUUGCACUCCCUCCUGUGACAACCAUGGAGCAUGUUAAACCUGUCAUAAACGACGACGGGGUUCUUGAAAAGUACAAGCUGUCUUUCUAUGACGGAGAGCUUCCGAGGGUGGAGGAUACACCCUACGCAUGCCCUUUGGAUAGGUACUGAGAUCUGGUCUAUCUGAAGGCAACUUUGUCUUCCUAUCCAUCGGCAGGGGAAUGCACUGUCAUGCUCAUCCAUCAGCCGUACGCGCAGCUCUCAUUCGCCAAAGUGGGGGAUGCUCGGUGGAACUGGCAACAAAUGCAUAGUUUCUAUGCAGAUUGCAUACAACAUGAUGGCUGUUUCUACGCAAUGACUGAGGUAGGCGCAAUCGAUGAGUUUGAUUUGAACGGACCAUCUGUCGUCCACAGAAGGAUUUUACCAAAUCUAGUUGGGAUGGUCCAGAAGUGCUACAUUGUUCAGUUACCAUGGGGAGAUGUCCUCCAAAUCAUUAAGGAGGAGAGUUUGGAUCCUGAACAACCAGAUGGUGAGACAUAUGUCACUGCUUAUGAAGUGCACAAGGUUGAUUUUGUUGAGCUGAAGCGUGUCAAAAUGAGAGGGAUAGGUGAACAUGCAUUGUUCACUGGGAAAAGCACAACAUCUUGCUUUAGCGUAAAGAAUCAUCCAGGCUUGAUGGCAAACCAUCUAUAUUUUACUCAUGAUGAUCACGAAGAAUUACUCGGCGGCAAAGAUGAUCCACGUGACAUAGGAGUGUACGACUUGGAAAAUGAUACCAGAACCAAUUUGGUUGAUCCUGAACCCUGGAGGACGUGGUUCCCUCCCAUAUGGCUCACACCCAAUCUUGCAAAAGCAGGUAUAUUUCAUUUUCAAACAGAACUUUUCCUGAUAUUAUUUUUAGUAUUUUGAAAUCUGCUUCUCACAGAAUAAGAGAAUUGCACUUCCAACCUUAAGUGUGUUCCCCUCGUCUGGGUUUGUAUUGGAUGUUCAGAAUAGCGCAUUUGGUUAUGUUGAAUUUCUUAAACCUCUUUGGCUAAGAUUACCAUGUUAGUCAUGUGUUGUUUUUGCUAAAUGACAUGAAACGUGAUGAGGUUUAUAGGUUGGCUUUGAUACAUUUUUUAUGAUGUUGUGCUUGUCUGGCCAAGUGUUAUAGAAGAAAUGUUGCAUUCUCACCGAACAAAUAGGCUAUCGUGAAGCAGCCAACUCAUAUUGGGGAAAUAGGAAACUAUAAAGUGUGAAUAGUCUCGAGACGAAUGCAAGAUAAUCUAGAUCUAAUUGAAAAUAUCAGUGUUAUAUUUCUGAAUACGUAUGGAGUAAAUAAUACUAAUAUGGAUGACAGAUAAUCCAGAAUUCUGGAUACAAUGGACAAAUGUGCGUUCACCCUUUACAGUACUGCCAUGAUCACACACAAACUCCACACGAUAACUAUAAAACAAACUAGGAAGAAUAUAAAGAUGGUGGUGCGUAUCCUGUGAAAAUGGGCAUGUUUUUGGUAAUGUGAAAAUACAAUCAGAAAAUCACAUGUGCAAGUAUCUUAAAAUUCUCAAAAUAACUCUUACUUUGUAAGGGCGUUUUGUAUAUUCAUGCCAAUUUGAAACUUCAAAUCCAGUGUACUUUGUGUGCUACAGAAAAGAAAACCGAAUGUGAAUAGUGUACUAAAAUUAAAACUAUGCUUUGACACUAUUAGCCUAUUUUGUCUUGUUUUGUUUUCGUGAAAGGAUUUCUCUUUCGAGAAAGUUUGAACAGAGGUGCUAUAUGCUCUUCCACAAUAGUACACUUUUGUGGAAUUUGUAUGUGCUUUUAAAAUGGUAUUUCAAAUUUUUGGAAAGAUGUGCAUUUUCGCAGGACAUGUCCCACUAAAUACAUUGUGGGUUAAGAUGAUUUAGCAUAUCAUUUAUGUUGUCUGGCCGGGUAAGAAAUUCAUGUAACAAAACAACAUUUUUUUAAUGUUAAGCUAGCCUUUUUUGUUUCUUCUUAUUUUGAGUUUCGUUUUCCUUUUCCAUUUGCUUAGAGUUUCUAGAUUUGUGCCCCUUCGUUCUCUUUUGCUGUUUCAAUAUGUGCAGUUGUCGAAGUAAUGGGCCACCGGUAUGCUCACCCGAGUCCCAAGAUUUACCAAGACUUUGGGCCAGCUCCGCCUAGCUGGGCCCCAAGCCGAAACUCCGCCCUCUGGGGCCGGCUGGCUUAGUGGCCGGCUGCCAGAGGGCGGGUGACCCAAGAGAGCGGCAACGGGCAGGCGGCCACCUCACAACUACGGGCGGCCGAGCUCCCAUCAAGAGUACAAGGCAGGGCAUGGCUACAGUGAAGCACGUCGCCUCCCACGCUCGAGACGGGCGUGGCUACAGUGCUCCGUACAGACGGAGAUCUCCGCACGACGGAGCACUGUGCCAUAUCUACCCUGACGUCGUUCCGGGCAGGCAGAGUCUUGUUCCCCACGAUGGCUUGUCGGUACGGCCCGCCGGAGGCGGGCCCUAUCAGGCAGUGACCCCAAGGAAGACGGCGGAAGCUCGACCAAGCGGAUUCAAGAGGAGCCGGCCUCCAGCAGGCGGCCGUCCCUUAUCCCGAGGCAUGCACGCCAUUAAGCUGAUGAGACCAGGUGUGGCUACAGUGGCCUCUCGCCAGGCGGCGGGACUGUAGCCACGCAAAGGUGACCAAGCUCUCGUCACCAACGACACGGCUACAGUAAGCAGCCACCAACCAGUCGGCGGGGCCCACCAGGCGGCGGGCCCCAGCGGUCGGCGGAGAAGCCGGAGGCUGGAGACACUGACAGCCGGGCCCAGCAGCCGGCCAGAUUACCAUUGUACCCCUGGGGGUAGGCCUAUAUAAACCCCCCAGGCCACCCAUGCAAAGGGUUUGACCCCAUUAGAACUAGCCACCCCUUAGAGCAGGAAGAGAGCUAAGCCUUGCCUCCUCCCGCCUCUAGCGCACAGCUCGAGGAGCACCAUUGUAUCACUUGUGCCUUAGUGAUCAUGCGGAGACCCCGCAGAGCAGGACUAGGGGUGUUAUCUCCUAGGAGAGCCCCGAACCUGGGUAAAGUACGCCGGCGUUCGUGUCUACGCCUUAUCUCGCUUCCAGGCACCGGCGACGUUCUACUCGCUCCCACCAUGAUAAGCCAUCCAUUGGCAUAUGUCGCACCCAACCCCAGACAUUUGGCGCCCACCGUGGGGCGAGGUGCACCGUCUCCCGGAGAUCUGCUCUGGACGGGAACCCUGUUCCUUCCUGGCGAGCGAAGCCAGCCCAGCACACCCGACGACGUCAGCCUCGACGCGCUGCAUGGCGCGGAGAUCGCCUGCGCGGCGAGUUGCCUUGCUGACCUCGUCGGCGAGAUUGACCUCUCCGACGAGCCGGCCUCCACGUGGGCACAAGUUGCCCCGAGAGCCGCCUCGUCAGCCUCCUCGACCAGCUCCAUGUCGCCAGCGAGCCCGCUGUGGACCUGGAGUCCGUCGGCUCAACCGAUCCGAUGAUCGUCGACUCCGACACGGCGUCGCUCGACGCGUUUCCCACCAACGUGGUGGUCUAUGAUGAGCCGCCUCCUCACGAGUACAGCGGCGGGAGCACCGUCACAGAUGUUCUCGUCAUUAACAGCGAGGAGCACUCGGACGGGCGUGCUCAAGAUCCCCUUGAGGCCGCCCUGCGCGACCUCACGGCGCCCAUUCCCGAGGACGCGGAUGCUAAGGUGCUGGAGGCACGCCGCCUCCAGCUUAUCGAGAGUGCUGGCCGCCUGGCCAGCAUGCGCCGGCUGUCGGACGCCUACCGGCGCGAGAUGGACCGGGCCGUAGGCGGCACAACGGCUCCUAGGGGGCCUAGCCGCCUCGGCACAAUUCGGCAGCAUGGCGCGGCCGUCGCCACCAUGUUCGGGGUAGAGCGCCCCGUCUACGCCACGUCUGCAGAGAACAUUCGGGCCGCCCAGGCGGUAACGGAUGAGCUGAACAAGUACGAAGGCGACGAACUCCGCCACAUGACAAAGCGAGUCCAACAGCUCCUGGACGCGGCUGCCGCGCAGCACGAGGCCGCCUGCCGCGCUAAAGACCCAGCCGUAUGAGACAACGAGCCGCCCCCACGCCGAGACGAUGGGGCGACCUCCCGGACGCCGACUGGUGGCGCCCGCGGAGGAAAGGGCAAUGAGUCGGCUGCUAGCCGCAGUCGGACACGCAUCUCCAUCGAGCAGGACGAGGAAGGCCGCCCUUGUGCAGUGGAGCGGCGAGGCAACCUGCCGCCUCCCCUGCCUCGUGGAGCGAGAUACCCCACUCCGCCUCCUGUCACGCACCCGACAGUCGGCGACCGCCUUGGCCGCCGAGAGGGAGUCGGAGAGAAUGAUGCUCGCCACCGGAUCGAUCGCCUCAACCGAUCCCUGGCGCUUGAAGAAGAAGAUGCGCUGAGCCCGCCCUGCUUCGGCCCCCGAAUCCGCGAUGAGCCCUUCCCCAAAGGGUUCACCCUCCCACGAGUGAUAUGGCCGCGUGUAAUUUAAGUGCGAUGAUCAGUGUUGAUACAACAACGUAUUCAUCUAGUACUGAAUAUGCUACAGAUGUUUUUCAAGAUGAAGAUGGAUUUGUAGGCAUCACAUCUAAGCGUGACACAGUUGUACAAAUAAUGAGCAAGUAUGGAGUUAUGUUUCUAUAUUCCCCUAAAUCAGGACGUGAAGGAGCACACAUGCAUGGGUGUGGGUCCAGCCAAAAGUCAAUUAGAAGCCAUCAAGUUGUGUACUACGUGGAUGUGCAAGAGUUUAAUUCCUUCUCAAAGGGAAUAAAUCACGUUAGUUAUUUCUUUGAACGGUUACAGCCACCUGAACGACCAAAACUUACACGCAGAUGGAAGUUUAUCACGUGGAAGAUCAUGAGUUUAAAUGAGUCUGGGUGGGGGCCGCCAUGUUGGAAAAAAUAGAUCAAGGAGCAAUCGAAUAAAAUUGUCAAACUUUAUUUUAGUAGGUCUUUGCAUGCUUGCCGAGAUGUAAAAGGCAAGUUAGUUUAAAUCUAGAAAGAGUCCAGCCUUUAGGAGGUACAUGUGCGUGCCUCUUCCAAGUUAUUUCUAUAAAUAGCUAGUUCCGGUCCAUGUAAAAGCAGGUUAUAUUUCGAUAAUAAACACGAUGUGUUUUUAGGGUAGACACCCGUAUCGAGUUUUGGGGGAAGCUGUCUAAAAAUCCCUAAGUUUUGGAGGAAGCUUUAGAAAACCUCUUUGUUGCGAUUUCUCUUCGUGGAAAUUGUUUUGCGCGUGAGUGCCGUCGUCGAGAUUGGUUCUCUCGUGCUGGACCGUAAGGUUCAAUCCCUCUAUUUCGCGUACAUCGCGUGCGCGGGCGAGAGGUUACUACUGCUGAAGAUGGAGUGUCGUGAAAGGUCGGGCCGCAACAACGGAUCGGAUCUCGCCACGAGGUCCGGUCUACAUCAGGUGGUAUUCAGAGCGUCAGGUUGUUCACGGCACUACGGAGAAGAUGGCGAUUGCAUCGUUAUUCAGUAAGUUAAGCUAUGGAUUUCAGUUGGAGGAGGAAGGUCGUUGGACUGGCCUUUUUCACACCCGUGUGGUAGUGAGAGAGAGAUCAUGUGCUAUGACGAUCAAUCACAUGAAUUUGAUCAACGCAGCAAGCAUCGAGAUGGUGAAGAAGCUGGAGAUACCAAUAACAGCACAUCCAAAACCAUACUUUUUCCGUUGGGGUCAUGAAGAGCUCACUGUCAUGCACCAAACUAAGGUACCGUUUUUGUUGGGAAAAUUCUUUUGCGAGGUUUUGUGCGAUGUGAUUCCAGCGCCGAUGGUUUCGUGCCACUUGUUGUUGGGUGAGCCAUGGUACAAAGAGCAUGAUGUAGUGUAUGAUUAUCACACACACAUAUACUGUCAAGAAGGGUAAAAAGUGCAAUCUUGUGCCCAUGGAUGAGGAGCGUUUCAUUACAUGGAGGAAAGAACAUCUUGAGAAGAUAAAAAAGCAAGAAGAAGAAGAAAGGAAGAAGGCCGAAGCUGCUGCAAUUGUUACUAUCGUCGUCGUUCAGUCUGCAAAUAAAAAUAUUGUUGAGAUCAACUCGAAACCGAGGACGGUUUCGUUUCAAGGAGGAGAGGAUGAUAUGCCCGCGUGUAAUUUAAGUGCGAUGAUCAGUGUUGAUACAACAACGUAUUCAUCUAGUACUGAAUAUGCUACAGAUGUUUUUCAAGAUGAAGAUGGAUUUGUAGGCAUCACAUCUAAGCGUGACACAGUUGUACAAAUAAUGAGCAAGUAUGGAGUUAUGUUUCUAUAUUCCCCUAAAUCAGGACGUGAAGGAGCACACAUGCAUGGGUGUGGGUCCAGCCAAAAGUCAAUUAGAAGCCAUCAAGUUGUGUACUACGUGGAUGUGCAAGAGUUUAAUUCCUUCUCAAAGGGAAUAAAUCACGUUAGUUAUUUCUUUGAACGGUUACAGCCACCUGAACGACCAAAACUUACAUGCAGAUGGAAGUUUAUCACGUGGAAGAUCAUGAGUUUAAAUGAGUCUGGGUGGGGGCCGCCAUGUUGGAAAAAAUAGAUCAAGGAGCAAUCAAAUAAAAUAGUCAAACUUUAUUUUAGUAGGUCUUUGCAUGCUUGCCGAGAUGUAAAAGGCAAGUUAGUUUAAAUCUAGAAAGAGUCCAGCCUUUAGGAGGUACAUGUGCGUGCCUCUUCCAAGUUAUUUCUAUAAAUAGCUAGUUCCGGUCCAUGUAAAAGCAGGUUAUAUUUCGAUAAUAAACACGAUGUGUUUUUAGGGUAGACACCCGUAUCGAGUUUUGGGGGAAGCUGUCUAAAAAUCCCUAAGUUUUGGAGGAAGCUUUAGAAAACCUCUUUGUUGCGAUUUCUCUUCGUGGAAAUUGUUUUGUGCGUGAGUGCCGUCGUCGAGAUUGGUUUUCUCGUGCUGGACCGUAAGGUUCAAUCCCUCUAUUUCGCGUACAUCGCGUGCGCGGGCGAGAGGUUACUACUGCUGAAGGUGGAGUGUCGUGAAAGGUUGGGCCGCAACAACGGAUCGGAUCUCGCCACGAGGUCCGGUCUACAUCAACGAGACACACCCAAAUACACCGGCUCCGUGAAGCCGGAGGACUGGCUGGUCGACUACUCCACAGCCGUCAGCAUAGCAAACGGCAACAAGCGCGUUGCCGUGAAGUACGUCCCGCUCAUGCUUCAAGGCACUGCUCGGACGUGGCUCAACAGCCUGAAGCCCCGCAGCAUCAACAGCUGGGUCGAUUUCAUCGAGGCCUUCAUCCGCAACUUCACCAGCACUUACAAGCGGGCCCCCAAGCCCCGACAGCUCUCUUUAUGCGUCCAAGGGCCCACCGAGUCCACUCGCGACUACCUCACGCGCUGGACCGAGCUGCGCAAUUCCUGCGAGGGCGUGCACGAGGUGCAGGCAAUCGAGUACUUUACUGCCGGGUGCCGAGAGGGCACCCUCCUCAAGCAUCGCCUCCUCUGUGACGAGCCCGAGACCCUUGAUGAGAUGCUGGUCAUCGCCGACAAGCACGCCACGGCCGACUCCUCCAUGAAGGCAGAAAUACUGGUUGAUGCGUCUGGAAAGGUGGCAUCCCAGGCACCUCGGACUCCGGCUGGCGACACCAGUCGGCGACAGCAGCCAGGAGAUAACAAGCGAAAGGCCAUUCAGCCGGCUUCCACUAGCCGGCAGGUGGCGACAGUCGAGGAUCAGCAGCCAGAAGGGCAGCCAACACCCAAGCGGCAGAAGGGCGGAAGUCCAACUGGUUGCCCGCCUUUUCUUACGAGCAAACUUUAGAUGCACCCUGCAAGUUCCAUAGCGGAGCGAAGCCCUCCAGCCACACCACUCGGAAGUGUCACUGGCUCACCAGAAUUGCCAAGGAAGAUGGACUCCUGCCUCCUCCGCCUGCUGGACCGCCGCCUCCUCAGCCCCAGCAGCCGGCGGCCCGACCAGUCGGCACCAUCCAGGAUGAGUACCCGGAGGAACACGGAGCUUAUGUUGUGUUCAUCAGCGUGGCCGAUGACAGACGCAGCAGACGGCAACAACAACAAGAAGUGCAAGCAGUGGCCUCCAGCACCCCAGAGUUCAUGCAUUGGUCCGAGAAGCCUAUCAGUUGGAGCAGGGCCGACCACCCGGAAGUGAUGCCUUCCCCUGGUUCGUACGCCCUGGUCCUAGAAGCGACCCUUGCAACGGAGAGACGAGCAGCCCGUUUCUCCAGAGUCUUAAUAGAUGGCGGCAACAACAUCAACAUCCUGUAUCGUGAUACGAUGGAGAAGCUGGGAAUCAAGCAGAAGCAGCUUGUCCCCAGUCAGACUGUAUUCUAUGGCAUAGUCCCUGGCCUUUCCUGCUCACCAAUCGGCAAGACCCAGAUUGAUGUCCUCUUCGGAGACAAGAAUCACUUUCGCCGAGAGCCAGUUUGGUUUGAAGUGGUGGACCUUCAGAGCCCUUACCAUGCACUGCUAGGCCGGCCUGCUCUGGCCAAAUUCAUGGCAGUCCCCCACUACGCCUACCUCAAGAUGAAGAUGCCGAGUACCAAGGGAAUCCUGACAGUAGUCGGAGACUACAAGAAGUCGGUCGCGUGCGCCGCAGAUAGCAGCCGGCUGGCCGAGUCCCUCGUGAUUGCAGUGAGAAGCGGCUCCUUGACCGGGUGGUGGCUUUGGCAGGCAAGAAGCCGGAAAUGUCACCCGCACCCCAGGAGUCAGAAGCUGAGGGUUCGUUCAAACCGGCCAAGGAAACAAAGAAAAUACCCUUGGACCCAGAGCACCCGGAGAGGCACGCUGUCAUAGGCACAGGCCUUGACAGCAAAUAGGAAGGCGAGCUCGUCGAUUUCCUCCGUGAGAAUCGGGACAUCUUCGCAUGGUCCCCCAAAGACAUGCCGGGUGUUCCGACGGAUUUCGCCGAGCACAAGCUACAUGUCCGACCUGACGCCAAGCCGGUCAGGCAGCCCUUUCGCCGCCUGUCAGAAGAGAAGAGAAGAGUUGUCGGAGAAGAGAUAGCCCGGCUCCUAGCAGCCGGAUUCAUCAUGGAAGUAUUUUUUCCAGAAUGGCUGGCCAACCCAGUCCUAGUGUUGAAAAAAAACAAGCAGUGGCACAUGUGCAUUGACUACACCAGCCUCAACAAAGCCUGACCCAAAGAUCCCUUUGCUCUGCCGAGGAUUGAUCAAGUGAUCGACUCCACAGCCGGAUGUGAGCUGUUGAGUUUCUUGGAUGCAUACUCAGGAUAUCACCAGAUAAAGCUAAACCCGGCCGACAGGUUGAAGACCGCCUUCAUCACGCCAUUUGGAGCCUUCUGCUACCUGACCAUGACGUUCGGCUUGAGAAAUGCCGGCGCCACGUUUCAGCGUUGCAUGCAGAAGUGCCUCCUCAAGCAACUUGGCAGAAAUGCCCAUGUAUAUGUGGAUGAUGUGGUGGUGAAGACGGAGAAGCGUGGCACUCUGCUUGAGGACCUCAAGGAGACCUUUGAGAACCUGCGCUGAUUCCAGAUUAAGCUCAACCCGGAGAAAUGUGUCUUUGGAGUACCAGCCGGCCAGCUUCUUGGUUUCCUGGUCUCAGAGCGCGGCAUAGAGUGCAAUCCUAUGAAGAUCAAGGCAAUUGAGAUGAUGAAGGUGCCCACCCGACUGCUGGACGUGCAGAAAUUCACCGGCUGCCUGGCGUCAGUCAGCCGUUUCAUCAGCCGGCUGGGCGAGAAGGCUCUUCCCCUGUACCAACUCAUGAAGAAGACCAUUUUUUUUGAGUGGAACGACAAGGCGGACGAAGCAUUUCUCCAACUCAAGAAGAUGUUGGCAACCCCGCCUAUCCUGGCAGCUCCGACUGAGAAGGAGCCCAUGCUCCUCUACAUUGCAGCCACCAGUCGGGUCGUCAGCAUAGUCAUGGUAGUAGAGCGCAAGGAGAAGGACAAAGCAUUGCCGGUCCAGAGACCGGUGUAUUACUUGAGCGAAGUAUUGUCCGCCUCCAAGCAAAACUACCCCCACUACCAGAAGAUGUGUUACAGCGUGCAUUUUGCCUCCAAGAAGCUGAAGCCUUACUUCCAAGAGCACCCCAUAACUGUCAUCUGCACAGCUCCGCUUGCUGAGAUCAUUGGAAGCCGGGAUGCCUCAGGCCGAGUGGCCAAAUGGGCUAUUGAUCUGGCCCCCUACACCAUCUAUUACCAGCCUCGCACCGCCAUCAAGUCACAGGUGUUGGCCGACUUCCUCGUCGAUUGGGCUGAAACCCAAUAUCUGCCGCCUGCACCAGACUCCACUCACUGGCGGAUGCAUUUCGAUGGUUCAAAAAUGCGCACUGGCCUGGGAGCCGGCGUCGUCCUCACCUCUCCCAAAGGCUACAAGCUUAAAUAUGCACUACAAGUCCACUUCGCCGCCUCCAACAACGUAGCAGAGUAUGAGGCACUCAUACACGGGCUCCGGCUUGCCAAGGAACUCGGCAUUCGCCGGAUCCUGUGUUAUGGUGACUCCGACUUGGUGGUCCAGCAGUCUUCGGGCGACUGGGACGCCAAGGAUGCGAACAUGGCGAGCUACCGCUUCCUGGUGCAGCAACUCAGCGGAUACUUCGAUGGGUGCGAGUUCCUUCACGUGCCAAGGAAUGACAACGAGCAAGCAGAUGCCUUGGCACGGAUUGGCUCCACCCGACAAGCAAUACCGGUCGGCGUCGCCCUACGCCGCCUUCUGAAGCCGUCUGUCAGGCCUUCUCCUGAUUCAGACUCUAUCUUUGUGCCGGCCCUCCCCGAAGCAGUCGGAUCCGACUUGGUGACUCCAGAGGCCGGCACAAGGGUUUUGACAGGCGGCCCGGGGAAUGCUACAGCCAUGACCGACCUGGGGGCUUCAGAACCCGGCCCGGGGACUUCAGAGCCCGGCCCGGGGACUUCUUCAGCACAGCAGGCGGAAGCAGCCGCCAACCCACCGCCUUCCGGCCCAACCGCCCUCGUACAAGUUGCAGAGGUUGCAGUCGAAGAAAUUGCGGCGCCCUCAUGGGAUCAGCCGAUCCUCAAGUUCCUGGUGAAUAAGGAGCUGCCAACCGAUGAAAUCUUAGCUCGACAAGUACAGAGGCGAGCUGCAGCAUACACCAUAGUCAACAAAGAGCUGGUGCGAAGAAGCGUCACAGGAGUUUAUCAGAGGUGCGUGGAGCCGGACCAAGGCCAAGCAAUACUCAGAGAUAUCCAUCAGGGCGAGUGCGGCCACCACGCGGCUUCAAGAGCACUGGUGGCCAAAGCCUUCCGCCACGGUUUCUUCUGGCCGACCGCCCUAUAAGAGGCCAAAGAGCUGGUCAAGAAGUGUCAAGGGUGCCAGCGAUUCCGUUCCAAGCCGCACCAGCCAGCUUCUGCACCCAAGACCAUUCCCAUAGCCUGGCCCUUUGCCGUGUGGGGAUUGGAUAUGGUGGGACCAUUCAAAACAGCCCGCGGGGGCAUGACUCACUUGCUGGUUGCGGUGGACAAGUUCACUAAGUGGAUAGAGGCGAAACCAAUCAAGAAGCUGAAUGGGCCGACUGCCUUGACCUUCAUCGCCGACAUCACCACGCGGUACGGCAUCCCACACAGCAUCAUCACCGACAACGGCACCAACUUCGCCAAGGGAGCCUUGACUCGUUUCUGUGCGACACAGGGCAUCCGCCUGGACCUAGCGUCCGUUGCCCACCCACAGUCAAACGGCCAGGUGGAACGCGCAAACGGCCUCAUUUUGUCCGGCCUCAAGCCCCGACUGGUCGAGCCUCUGGAGCGCUCGACCGACUGCUGGCUCGACGAGCUGCCGGCCGUCCUCUGGAGCCUGCGCACAACUCCAAACAAAUCAACGGGCUUCACGCCUUUCUUCCUCGUCUAUGGCGCCGAAGCCGUCAUCCCGACGGAUAUCGAAUUUGACUCCCUAAGAGUCACUAUGUACACCGAAGCGGACGCCAAGGAAGCACGAGAAGACAGCGUUGACUUGCUGGAGGAAGGCCGGUUGUUGGCACUCAGCCGGUCGGCCAUCUACCAGCAGAGUCUACGCCGAUACUACAACCGCAAGGUGAAGCCAAGGUCCUUCCUGGAGGGAGACCUUGUGCUCCGGCUGAUCCAGCGAACAGCCGGACAGCACAAGCUCUCGGCACCUUGGGAAGGCCCUUUCGUCAUCAGUAAGGUGUUAGGCAACGAUGCCUACUAUCUGAUCAAUGCACAGAAGCCCAGGGCGCGCAAGGGAGAUGAUUCAGGCAAAGAAACGGAGAGGCCGUGGAAUGCAAACCUCCUACGAAGGUUUUACAGUUGAAAGCAGUAUGUAUCACGCUAUCCUUUUGUACUAUGUAUGAAGACUCCGGGUCCCCCGAGGAAAGCUCGGGGACUGCCCUCUUUUUAUCUAUAUGAUAAGCGCCAUGCCCAUGAGAAUGUAUGGUCUAUUUUCUUCCGCCUGGCCUGGGUUCGACCAGUCGGCCUGAAGCUUCGCCGCCUUCUGCAAUAUGCCGCCUCCCGCAGCCGGACAAGUAGUGUGCUGGCACCAAAGUUUCCUUUGUCAGAAGCCACAGCUCACAGAGCGACUGUAUGGCAGGCAAAGGUUGCAAAGAGGUGCCCCAUUCGUGCGGAGCUUCGCCGCCUUCCUCGACCACCUCCGGCACAAAGACAUUGGUGUCGGUGAAGUCGGCGAUCGCCGCUGCCCUGUUGACGAGUUCGGUUUCCAUCGCCGCCAGCUCCUUCUGCGCAUCCAGCCGGAACGUGGCUAACUGGGCUAGAUCUAGCCCAGGGUACCACGCCUUGACGAAUUCCAAGGCCCAGCGCGCUCUUGCCCGGGCUGCUGAGCCCUUCCAGGCCUCCAAGCGGCCGGCCGCCACCCCCAGCCAGUCGGCAGUCCGACUUGGGGUACGCGGAGCCGGCAGGCCCGGCCAGAGGGCAGAGACCGCCUGGGCUCCGGCGCGCUGGAGACGGCGCAACAGUCGGUGGGCAGGCCGAAGCCGGGCCUGGAUGCUGAGGACCUGUUCGCCAAGAGUCCGCAGCGCAUCUGCGGCGAUCUGCGCACCUCCCGCUCUUCGCUCCUCGCGCUGGGCCUCGAUCAUUUGGAUCGCGGCUACAGAAUGGCCUGGGAAGAAGUCUGUACGGGCAGAAGAAGAAAAAAAGGGGGAUCAGGACCAUAAGCAGGCGCCGGCUGCUCAAAGAAAGAAAUCAGGGGAGCAGGGCUUACCAUCGACCAAGUCUUCAAUGCUGCUAAAGCAGGCCGUCACCUGGGCCUACUUGUUGGCCCAAGCAGAGCGUUCGAGCUCAAACUCGGCAAGGAGGCUGGUCUUCGCCGUCUCCGCCUUCUGCUGGGCCGCCUUGAGGGUUUCCGCCUGUUCGGCAAGUUGGGCGACCAGGCGGUCCCGCUCCUCUGCCAGCUUGCUGCACUCCGCCUCCUUGCCACGAAGGGCGGUUUGGGCCUCCCCCAGCUGCUGCUGCAGGGCGGCAUUAGCCUCUGAAGAAGGAAAGAAGAAAAGAAGGCAUCAUCAAGCAUAAAAGACAAAGGAAAGAAACGAUCAAGGAGAUUCGGCCCGACUGCUCGGCAGUCGGCCCGAACCUCGGGGACUAUAGCUUGCGGGUGCGCCAGCGCGCCCCCGCGAGGAAAGAAGAAAGAGACUCACGCCGGCUUUCGGCGAGAUGGGCCGUUUGCGCCUCCAGCUCCCGAACCUUGGAGUUAUAGGCGGUCGCACGGAGGUUAUGAUAAUCCUGCCGAAGAAACAUCGAAAUAAAGUCAGCAAUCGACAAUCACAAGUUAAAGUUCCGACCUGCCUGCUCAGCAGCCGGCCCGGAACUUGGGGACUACACCCAGUGGGUGCGCUUGCGCACCCCCACGAAAGAAGCAAAGAAGAACACUCGAAGAAGAAGCCAAAGACGGCUUACCCGGAUGGCGGUGCGCAACUCCAAGUAGGCCUCGUUGCAGCGCUUGAGUGCCACUGCCUCCGCUCGGAGCUUGGCCUGGACGUCAAGAGACGCCUCGUUCAGGGCGCCAGUUCCGCCCCCGUGCACCCAACCCACGGGCGCGGCACUGGUCGCCUCGGUGUCAAGGGCCGAUGAGCUCGAGGCGCCGAUCUCCUGCGGCCGCAGCGCCGAGGCCGCCUUCUCCAGAUAGCGGCGCGUGGGAAUGCGGACCGCGGGAACCAGGACCGUUGCCACCAGAGUCCCGACCGGUGGCACCGGCGGCGCCACUGGCUGUUCGACCCGCGGCUCGCUGGCUGGCGGAGGCGGCGGCGGGGGCGGCGGCACAAAGACGUCCGGCAUGGCUACGUCCCCGCCCCCCUGCUCUCGGAUCGGGUAGUCGCCGCCGGCUCCUCUGGCCGUUGCCUCGAAAUCAGGCGGAGGCGGCGCGGUAUUUAGAGGGGCCACAAGUAGUGGCUCUUGCCGGCGGGCGGCCUCCGCAAGCCGUUCCUUCUCUGCGGCCAGGGCUUCUGCCUGCGCCAGCACCCUCUCGGCAGACGCAGCAGACAAGUCCGCCUGCUCCUUGGCCAGGCGGUCGGCUUCCGCCUCCUUGCGCGCCUCCCGCGCAUUCCGCUCUGUCGCCUCCCGAAGGUCGACGGCCGGGUCGAUGCGCCGGCUAGUCGAGGAGGUCGCCGCCGACCUGAGGACCGAGCCAGCGCCCAACUUCUCAAGGGUCAGCGGGGCCCUGAAAUAAGAAGACAAAUCAGAAGAUUUUCACGGCAAAAUGAUGAAAAAACAAGGAGAAAAGGAAUGACGCUUACGCUGACACCAUAACAGGCACCUUUGGCUGCCUCUGGUGCUGGGCCGCCUUGGCCGCGGUCUCUCUCCGCCUGGUCACCGCGGCCGGGUUCUUGGGCUUCUUGGGAGCGCUGCCGAACAGGGCCGAGCCCUGUUUCCGUUUGCGCUUACCACCGGGGGUGGGCAGCCCAGAAGAGGGGCCGGCGCCGGUGGUGGCGGAGCUCCGGGCGGGGCGCGGCUCGUCGUCGUCUUCGUCGUCGUCGGGCCAAGCCCCCACGCCGCCGCCUCCCUCGGAGUCGCCUGCUCCGCUACCGCCGUCCGCUCUGCCUCCGUCGCCUGUCGCGUCGUCGACCAGGGCGGCCGCCCCCAAGUCGGGGUCAUCCACGUCACUCUCCGCCCUGUCCGCCUGGAGGUUAUCACCCGGCCCCAGGAGGGCGGCCGUUGCCUCGGACAUAUAAAUCUGCAACCAAUAAGGAAUCAAGUCUUGAACGGCGGCGCCAUAAAGAGAAAUGAAGCGGAAGAAAGCAGCUCAAAGGACAAAGACGAGAAACCUACCGCAGGGGGCGGGUUGUGGCGAGAGUACGACCGCUUCCCGUACCGCCACUCCUUCUCCGACAUCUUGAGGUUGGAGAUCUCGUUCACCAUCCGCGAGACUUCGGCAGGCGACAUUCCUUCGUGCACAGCCGGCACGGAUCGCGGUGUCCGCCCAUCCGGAAGAUCGGAUGAGGGCGGCUCUGGAGCGGGAGGACCCGGCGCUCGACGAAGGCGACGAGGAGGUCGGAGGCCACGAGGCCCUCCGACUCCUGGAGCACACGGAGUCGGCCAAUGGCGGCCGCCGCGUCCGCCGACACCGGUUUCGGCUUGUACCCCCAGGUGGGCCGAGCCUCGGUGGGGGGGCCAGCCUCGUAGGCCGGCAGGUUGAGGAAGUCGGCAGCCGGGUCCACGUUCUCGACGUAGAAGUAGGACUGCUGCCACAUCUUCACCGACUGCGCCAGCUUGAUGACGGGGAAGGCGUUCCGCUUCGCCGGUCGGCGCACGGCAACGAAGCCCCCGCACUCGGCCGCCGUCUCCCUAGCGAAGGUGCCGAGCUUCCCAUAAAAGAACGCUCCCCACAGCUCGAUGGUGGGGAGGAUGCCGAGGUAGCCCUCGCACGCCGUGACGAAGGCGGAGAGCAGGGUCACGGCGUUGGGCGUGAGAUGGUGGGGUUGAAGGUUGUAGAAGUUGAGGAAGGCGCGGAAGAAGUUGCUCGCCGGGAGGCCGAAGCCCCGCAGGAAAUGCGAGCGGAAGACGACCCGCUCGCCUUCCUGCGGCGCCGGCGAGAUCUCCGUCUCCGGCGGCACCCGCGCCUUGACGAAGGCCGCGCUGGGCAUCCGGCGCGUGUCGCGAAGGAAGGUGAUGUGGUCCUCGAUCACGGUCGACCCAUCCCAGUCGCCCAUGGCCCCGGCUGGCGGCGCGGAGGGGAGAAACACGUCGGUGACGAGCAACGACGAGCAACUAUGGCAGCGCUACGGCAGCAACGGCGGAAGCUGAGAGAGAAGAAGAAGAGUGGGAGGGGGCGCAGGAACUUUGCCGCACCUCUCCCUCCUCCCUACUUAUAGCGCCCGAGCUAUGUAGCCGAGGGGGCGGGACGUGGGGGCGUGGGAUUAACUGCGCCCACGACCCCACGACCCCCCGUCUCCCGCGCGCAUUUACUCCGUCAUAAACAGUCGUGGGGAUGGCAACCGCCCCCUCUGGCGCAGUGAAUCCGCCCGGUUGCCGAGGCGUGGUAGUGGCGGGCCCGGCCCGGUGUCACGUCCCAUCCAGAGCGUGGGAUGGCAGGCUUGCCAGGCUGACGCGGGCCGUGUGGCGCGUCCGUGGCGGGCGGCUGCCUCGGAAGCUUAACAGGCACGCCACCUGUUUCCCGCCUGGAAGUUCAAAAUCAACCGUAUAGCUCCGCCUGUGAGUGGUCGGCUAGAGCAGUCGGCUGGCCACCAGACGGAUCGACAUUUUUCCAGAGCCCGGGAGGGAAGAAGCCGCUGAGACCUCGCGGCCCUUCGACCACGACGCAUCACCGGCUUCGGGGACUACUGUCGAAGUAAUGGGCCACGGGUAGGCUCACCUGAGUCCCAAGAUUUACCAAGACUUUGGGCCAGCUCCGCCUAGCUGGGCCCCAAGCCGAAACUCUGCCCUCUGGGGCCGGCUGGCUCAGUGGCCGGCUGCCAGAGGGCGGGUGACCCAAGAGGGCGGCAACGGGCAGGUGGCCACCUCACAACUACGGGCGGCCGAGCUCCCAUCAAGAGUACAAGGCAGGGCAUGGCUACAGUGAAGCACGUCGCCUCCCACACUUGAGACGGGCGUGGCUACAGUGCUCCGUACAGACGGAGAUCUCCGCACGACGGAGCACUGUGCCAUAUCUACCCUGACGUCGUUCUGGGCAGGCGGAGUCCUGUUCCCCACGACGGCCUGUCGGUACGGCCCACCGGAGGCGGGCCCUAUCAGGCAGUGACCCCAAGGAAGACGGCGGAAGCUCGACCAAGCGGAUUCAAGAGGAGCCGGCCUCCAGCAGGCGGCUGUCCCUUAUCCCGAGGCAUGCACGCCAUUAAGCUGAUGAGACCAGGUGUGGCUACAGUGGCCUCUCGCCAGGCGGCGGGACUGUAGCCACGCAAAGGUGACCAAGCUCUCGUCACCAACGACGCGGCUACAGUAAGCAGCCACCAACCAGUCGGCGGGGCCCACCAGGCGGCGGGCCCCAGCGGUCGGCGGAGAAGCCGGAGGCUGGAGACACUGACAGCCGGGCCCAACAGCCGGCCAGAUUACCAUUGUACCCCUGGGGGGUAGGCCUAUAUAAACCCCCCAGGCCACCCAUGCAAAGGGUUUGACCCCAUUAGAACUAGCCACCCCUUAGAGCAGGAAGAGAGCUAAGCCUUGCCUCCUCCUGCCUCUAGCGCACAGCUCGAGGAGCACCAUUGUAUCACUUGUGCCUUAGUGAUCAUGCGGAGACCCCGCAGAGCAGGACUAGGGGUGUUAUCUCCUAGGAGAGCCCCGAACCUGGGUAAAGUACGCCGGCGUUCGUGUCUACGCCUUAUCCCGCUUCCAGGCACCGGCGACGUUCUACUCGCUCCCACCAUGAUAAGCCAUCCAUUGGCAUAUGUCGCACCCAACCCCCGACAGCAGUUUUGUGCCUUCUUGCCGUUCUUAUUCUAAUACUGGACAAUAUUAUACGCAUUUUGGUGUUGUUCGAGAAAAGAGUGCAAAUUUCAGCCGAUAGUACCUUUAAUAUUUGUCUUUCCUUUUAUAUCCAGUUGUUCAAAUGUGCACCUCGCUGUUAUUUGCAUUUGAAGUAUUCUCUGAUAUUUGUUCUGAUUAUUAUCUUUGUUUUCAUUGGAGAAGUGGUUUACUAAUAAGUACAAAAAUUGCAACCAAAUGUACAGCAACACUUGACAUAAAUCACACAUCUCAUUCUUUAAUCUUUAUAUAUUUUGUUCUCAUAGAAGUUACAUUAAUUCUUGUGAACUGCUAAGCUGAUCAUUUGUUGACUAUUAACUUAAUUAGGCUUAGUAGCCUGUCAGGGUUUAUAAAUGCACUUACACGGUUACACCACAUGUGAUGGACUGAUCGUGUACCUGUUUACUCUGAUAAAAUCUUCUUGUCAGUUUUUUCUUCUGUUUAACAUGGGACUGAAUUAUUGCGUGGAUCCGAAAAGAACCACCUGCUACUGUAGAUUAAAAAAUUGUAGGAAUGCUUGCAAUCAUUGUAACGAUGGGCAUAUGUUUAUUGUCGUGUUAUGUGUUACUUUGCAUAGUCCAUGUCUUCAUGCUUGCUUGAAACAAUGCAACCUUUUGCCACUGUCUACUUUACAAUAAAUACAAUUUGCAUGGAAAAUUCCAAAAAAAAUAUUAACACUAAAAUUUGAGAGAAGUGCUCAUAUAUCAUAUUAUUAUAUUCUGGUCACUUUUCGGGUUAGUUGCUAGCUCAUUUCCCUGUCAGACUCUCACCUAAAGGUAGGCCAUUAUGAAUCAGUCAUUUUUACUAUUUUCUCCUGUGGCAAAUUUUAGCAUGGUCCCUCUUACCUCCCCUUUUCACAUGAGAGGUGAGAGUACAUAAUAGAUCUGAGCCAUUGAUUUGAUUAAAUAGUGGUCUGAUUUACUCUUACCUUCUUACCUCCCAUGUGAAAAGAGGGGGUAAGAGGUAGCAUGUUAAAAUUACUCUUCUCCUGUUAUAUAUAUGACCCUCUCUCUCAUUUUUGCGAUGUAGCCACAUGUUCUGUUAGUACUUCAUUAACCUCUUAUUCCGCGAGUGUCAGUCCUUAACCCAAUGCGUAGUCUCUUACAUAUUCUGCCUUUAUUUGAAUGUAUGAUUUUAUAUCAAACACAAAGAAAUUAUGUUACCUCUUUUACGGUACCCUGAUACUCCGAAAGCAUGCAUUGGAGUACCAGGCAGAUUUGGCCGUCCACACGGACGGGCAACCCCAUCAUUUCCCAAAUGGUACGAAAGGGUAUUUUUAGACUUCUUCUCUGCCAUUCUGAUAGAGCCCACAGCUCCCUGGUCCUGCCCUUGCUGUGCCGUCGUGCCCUAGCACGCGCCGCAGGUUAUCCAAGUUUGAGGGCGGCGCCCCAGCCCCCAGGUCCUGCCCUCUCCGUGCCGUUGUGCCUCAGCGCGCGCUGCCAUCAUCCCUGUCAAGCGUCUUCGGUCGAGCUGCCACCCCACAACAGGUUCCCCCCCGCCGAGCAAGUUCCCCACAUGAAGAACUCUUAGGAAUCUUAGAAUUUAUAUAUGAACUACAUGCCAAAUUGGCGUCAAAAUUGCCAUCGUUUAAGCUGUCUUAGAUCCUAUGAGCAUAAAAAUUUCCAGCAUGCAGCUUGCGUUGUGCACAAAUAGUUGAAGAGAACAAAUGCGCUUCAGCUUGUGCAGAAACUAUCAGCUGCGGCUUAUCAGAUUAAGAUGCAGCAGUGGUUGUUCUAACACUUCCCGUGAUGCUCUGGCACCGUCCGUAGCAGACGUGUGCUCAUUCAGAAUGCAGAAUUGUCUUUGUUUUCGCCAUCAAUCUUACCAACAAAGGUUAAUCCAAUAUGACAACUCUGUUUUUUUAAAUAUGAUUAUUAGGCCAAGCUGCUGCGAAUGAAUUGCAGAUGCCAAAUUUUGAUACCUUUUCAUAGAAGAAAAGAAGUUAACAUAUAAGAUUAUACUGACUACAACAUUUCUUAUAUGGUGUGUUCAUAAGAAUAAGAAUGAAAAUUUGGCCUUCACUGUGAGCCCCCCAUGGAAUCCUUCCUUGUUCCAUGCUGAAUUCUGAUUGCAUUUUUCUGUUCUGUCAGGGCUGUUGGCCUUUUUGUUUGCCCUUUGGAUUUUUUUUAUUCUUUUGGUUAUUCUACAAUAUCUACUGCAAUACAUGGAAUCCUUGACCGCCUCUUACAAUGAAUUAAGUCAUUUGCAAUUUAACCCUGUGACUGUGAGUCUAAUAACACUGAUCUUACACAUUUUUCUAAUAUUUUUACUUACCUACAGAUGCCAUGUGCGCCUGCACCCAAGGGGUGUCAACUUCUGCAAGUACAAGCGUGGUAACAGCAAGCAGAUGAGGCCAGAGAAGAAGAUCAACGACUAGAGUGCCACCAGUCAGUUUAAUGGACCUGUUGAAAUCCAUCGCCGUGUCAAAGUUUAUGCUUCGUUAUUGUCUCCUGUGGUCGUUGAACCUUGUUUACUUUGCUUUCAGCCUCAUAUUGGUUUGGUGAUCUUUGAAAGAAAAUUUGUAUCGUGAGUAUGAUAAAAGUAGAUAAUGUUGCCGCGUAAAUUGUGGUCAUUUUCAUCCUACAGUCUGCUCUUAUAAAAUGUCUGUGCAGAAGAAUGUGUGAUCACACUGCUGACAUAGAGUUUUUAUC